This 253-nucleotide ribosomal RNA is filed under the name uncultured bacterium. RNAcentral's name for it is "partial 16S ribosomal RNA". It matches the Rfam family "Bacterial small subunit ribosomal RNA", at positions 524 to 776 of the family's 1533-position model. The record is from RNAcentral.
UACAGAGGGGGCAAGCGUUGUUCGGAAUUACUGGGCGUAAAGGGCGCGUAGGCGGCCUGCUAAGUCGAACGUGAAAUCCCUGGGCUCAACCCAGGAACUGCGUCCGAUACUGGUUGGCUUGAAUCCGGGAGAGGGAUGUGGAAUUCCAGGUGUAGCGGUGAAAUGCGUAGAUAUCUGGAGGAACACCGAUGGCGAAGGCAGCCUUCUGGGCCACAACUGACGCUGAGGUACGAAAGCGUGGGUAGCAAACAGG